ACCAACAGCAGCAGCACAAGAACAAUUCCAGCAACUAGAAGAGAACCAUGCAGGAAAAACAAAAGCUGUAUAAGCAAAAACAGAGCCUUUUGCACCCAACGCACCUUCGCAAAAUUGUCAGGCAGACCUUGCUUCUUUAUUCUGAGGGUGCUGAUUUCCAAAGUAGCAUCAGACAAAAAGUGCCUGUAAUAAUCACCCCAGAAUGGACAAACACUUGUUUUAUUGAUAUAGUUCCUUCAUUGAUAUAAGAAAUCGAAGCUCCAAGCCCAUUGUGUGCUACUCCCAGAAGACCCAGAAUUUUGAUCAUACCAUACAUUUUCAUCAUCAUACUUGCAGGAACUUCUCUCUUCUCAUUGGGGUCUCUUUCCACGGUAGGCUUCUCUGUUUCUUUAUGCUUGAGAUGGGGUAUUUUGCUUGGACAUUCACUUUGGUUUUGGGAUUUCUCAGGAUCAGAAUGUGAAUGUGAUAUCAGAAUAGAAGACAUCUUGGGUUGCCACAGACACCUGAUUGCAG
This 513-nucleotide unclassified non-coding RNA is filed under the name Hevea brasiliensis (rubber tree). Lineage: Eukaryota; Viridiplantae; Streptophyta; Magnoliopsida; Malpighiales; Euphorbiaceae. The record is from RNAcentral.